UGCGCGCCUGUAGCAAUACAGGUGGCGCACGGCGCACGGGUGCGUAACACGUGGGCAAUCUGCCCUCCGAUGGGGAAUAACUCCGGGAAACCGAAGCUAAUUCCGCAUAACAUUCCUUGGACUUCGGUUUGGGGACUCAAAGGCGUAAGUCGUCGGAGGAGGAGCCCGCGCACGAUUAGCUAGUUGGUAGGGUAACGGCCUACCAAGGCUUUGAUCGUUAGCUGGUCUGAGAGGAUGGCCAGCCACACUGGAACUGAGACACGGUCCAGACUCCUACGGGAGGCAGCAGUGGGGAAUCUUGCACAAUGGGCGAAAGCCUGAUGCAGCGACGCCGCGUGGGGGAUGAAGCUUUUCGGAGUGUAAACCCCUUUCGACCCGGACGAAUGCCCCGCAAGGGGACUGACGGUACGGGUAUAAGAAGCCCCGGCUAACUACGUGCCAGCAGCCGCGGUAAGACGUGGGGGGCCAGCGUUGCUCGGAAUUACUGGGUGUAAAGGGUCAGUAGGCGGUGUGGCAAGUCGGGAGUGAAAUCUCUGGGCUUAACUCAGAGACUGCUUCCGAAACUGCUGUGCUAGAGUGUGGGAGAGGCGCGUGGAAUUGCAGGUGUAGCGGUGAAAUGCGUAGAUAUCUGCAGGAACACCCGUGGCGAAAGCGGCGCGCUGGACCACAACUGACGCUGA
This 680-nucleotide ribosomal RNA is filed under the name uncultured Acidobacteriota bacterium. Its description in RNAcentral is "bacterial SSU rRNA". It matches the Rfam family "Bacterial small subunit ribosomal RNA", at positions 67 to 749 of the family's 1533-position model. Lineage: Bacteria; Pseudomonadati; Acidobacteriota. The record is from RNAcentral.